RNAcentral lists this ribosomal RNA (573 nucleotides) under Salmonella enterica. RNAcentral's name for it is "bacterial SSU rRNA". It matches the Rfam family "Bacterial small subunit ribosomal RNA", at positions 1 to 563 of the family's 1533-position model. The record is from RNAcentral. Lineage: Bacteria; Pseudomonadati; Pseudomonadota; Gammaproteobacteria; Enterobacterales; Enterobacteriaceae.
AAAUUGAAGAGUUUGAUCAUGGCUCAGAUUGAACGCUGGCGGCAGGCCUAACACAUGCAAGUCGAACGGUAACAGGAAGCAGCUUGCUGUUUUGCUGACGAGUGGCGGACGGGUGAGUAAUGUCUGGGAAACUGCCUGAUGGAGGGGGAUAACUACUGGAAACGGUGGCUAAUACCGCAUAACGUCGCAAGACCAAAGAGGGGGACCUUCGGGCCUCUUGCCAUCAGAUGUGCCCAGAUGGGAUUAGCUUGUUGGUGAGGUAACGGCUCACCAAGGCGACGAUCCCUAGCUGGUCUGAGAGGAUGACCAGCCACACUGGAACUGAGACACGGUCCAGACUCCUACGGGAGGCAGCAGUGGGGAAUAUUGCACAAUGGGCGCAAGCCUGAUGCAGCCAUGCCGCGUGUAUGAAGAAAGCCUUCGGGUUGUAAAGUACUUUCAGCGGGGAGGAAGGUGUUGUGGUUAAUAACCACAGCAAUUGACGUUACCCGCAGAAGAAGCACCGGCUAACUCCGUGCCAGCAGCCGCGGUAAUACGGAGGGUGCAAGCGUUAAUCGGAAUUACUGGGCGUAA